This is a non-coding RNA of Paramuricea clavata, 205 nucleotides long. The record is from the annotation of a GenBank genome assembly. NCBI's taxonomy places the organism in Eukaryota, Metazoa, Cnidaria, Anthozoa, Malacalcyonacea, Plexauridae.
UGGAUUUAUAAACUUUUUUUCAAUCUGCGCAUGCUCACCAGUACGUUUCGGUACGGUUGAACUGGAAAACUGGCUUUAGAGACGGGUGCAGACUAACGGGGGGAGUUACCAAAUCCUAAUUUUAGUGUCCAAAGGAAGAAUUAUUUAUAAAAAUCAUGAAUAUCUAUAAUUCUGCUUAAGAAGUUUAUAAUGGUUAAGAAUUUGG